RNAcentral lists this transfer RNA (65 nucleotides) under Oestrus ovis (sheep bot fly). RNAcentral describes it as "tRNA-Ile". The record is from RNAcentral. Lineage: Eukaryota; Metazoa; Arthropoda; Insecta; Diptera; Oestridae.
AAUGAAUUGCCUGACAAAAAGGACUACCUUGAUAGGGUAAAUCAUGUAGAUUACUACAUUCAUUA